Molecule: long non-coding RNA, 797 nt
Filed under: Marmota monax (woodchuck)
Lineage: Eukaryota; Metazoa; Chordata; Mammalia; Rodentia; Sciuridae
Source: RNAcentral
CUUCAUAGAUUGGUCCUUCACCACCUCUCAAACCUUUACUCAUUCCACACGCUCCCUUUACCUUCACAUUCCAGUCACAUUGGCCCUUUACCUGUUUCUCAAGCACACCUUAUUUACUCUGGAUUUAUUGUACUAGCUUUUCCUUCCGUGGAUGCUGUUUGUGUGUAUUGUCUUCAAUGCCUUUUCCCUGAACACCCAAUGCCAACUGAUGGUGGCGGUACCGUCUACUCUGCCAGCACUGUGAUUCCCUGGUCUACUCCAGCAUACAUGUGUCUUAUCGGGUCAUUCAGACUCCUUGACAUUUAUCGCUCUUCUGAUCCAAUUACCAAAAUGCUAGAAAUAUGGUGGACCAAUAGGAUGUUCUAUAGACCUAUGAGCAAUCAAAUCCCCUCCAGACCAUAUUGUAGAGAGUUCAAGAGGUGAUGUAACUCUUGGGCAGGACUGAAUAGGUAUUGCUGUCCCAAAUGUACCUGCUUCUGUUUUUUUUCUAUGGUGGGGAUUAAAAGAAUACAUUUAGCAGAACAAUAGCCCAAAUGUCAGAAGUUGUUCUGAUGUGUUCUAGUAAAUAGAUGGCAUCAUGUAUAAUUGUAAUUAAGUGAUCAUUUGGAUACAUUCAUGGCAGUACACCUUCUUCCACCAUAAUCAUCUGAUCAUAUUCACAUUUCAGAAUGCUGGAUUAAAUGGGAAUAUAAUGGGGAUUAUCACCCUUACGUCUUCUAAUUCUAUAGUCAAUAUUGAUUUUAAUUUAUUGUCUUGCUGAGAUGGAGUACAAUUUAGUAAGUAUGCACAUUCCUUUU